GAUGAAGAACGCAGCGAAAUGCGAUAAGUAGUGUGAAUUGCAGAAUUCAGUGAAUCAUCGAAUCUUUGAACGCACAUUGCGCCCUUUGGUAUUCCAAAGGGCAUGCCUGUUCGAGCGUCAUUUGUACCCUCAAGCUUUGCUUGGUGUUGGGCGUCUUGUCUCUAGCUUUGCUGGAGACUCGCCUUAAAGUAAUUGGCAGCCGGCCUACUGGUUUCGGAGCGCAGCACAAGUCGCACUCUCUAUCAGCAAAGGUCUAGCAUCCAUUAAGCCUUUUUUUCAACUUUUGACCUCGGAUCAGGUAGGAUACCCGCUGAACUUAAGCAUAUCAAAAGCGGAGGA
Molecule: unclassified non-coding RNA, 339 nt
Filed under: soil metagenome
Description: partial contains 5.8S ribosomal RNA, internal transcribed spacer 2, and large subunit ribosomal RNA
Rfam family: 5.8S ribosomal RNA (bases 1-120)
Source: RNAcentral